This is a long non-coding RNA of Homo sapiens (human), 1690 nucleotides long. The record is from Ensembl. Lineage: Eukaryota; Metazoa; Chordata; Mammalia; Primates; Hominidae.
ACUCCCUCGCGCCCACCCGCGCGCCCGGCCGCGUCGCCCCCAGCCCGUUGGUCCCCGGACUGCGGACCCCGCCCCCGACGGGGGCCAGGUAACCCGCUUCCGAGUGUGCCACGGCGACCCCCAUCUCCCCUCCCCGUGUCAUAAUAAAUCUCACGUUUUCUGCCGGCUGGAGGCUUGGAGCGGUGAGGUGACGUUCAUUUCGGCCGCGUGAAGUUUUCUUUCAAACUGGGAUUGGUGGGGAGGCCGGGGGAAGGGAGCGGGGCGGCGAUCUUGGCGCCCUGCGCGGAGUCCGGGAGCCGCGUCCCGGCCGAGUCGGGGAGUGUGCGUGGAGCCUCCCACCUACUGGUCUCCGCCGGCAACUCUGCGGCCCCAUUUCGGAAAGCGCACCGCAUUGACCGGGACCUGAAGCGGGAUAAGAGGGGUCCUGGGGAAUAGACUGAGAAAGACAUUCAUGUCUGAGAUGAAGCUCAACUAUUACUAUUUUGAAAGUGCUUUAACAGUGCAAGUUUAAAAACUAAAGUGUUGACUUGCUUUUUCUCCCCCGGGGCAUGUGCCACGUCUUCCAAAGUCAAAGGAACGGAUGAGUACAAAAAGUUGCUACCCUUGAAGUGUUACCUAUCACUAUCAACCACAGCUUGUUUAUUUGGAAAGAACUUAAGUGAACCGUCAAGAGAAAAACAAAUGCAUAUUCUUUCUACAAAUAGUAGCAUUUAGUAUCUUUCCUGACCACAUUUGCGAAAAGAGGGAAUAGAGACUUCUAUAAUUAAAGGGAAAAGGAAAAUGAAAGGAGCUGAAAAUAGUGAACUGUGUAGUCUGGAUGGCUGAAAUUUGAAAACACAUGAAAUUAUCAGGACUGCCAAACGGUGUUCCUGAGAAACCAUAUCACAGAUUGUGAAGAAAAUCAAUGCUAGAAGAGUCGGAACAGGCACCGUACUCUUACUCCUUUGAAGAAUCCCAGAAAUAGUUGUUGAGGUUUUUUUUUUCUGCUGAGAAAAAAAGAUAUAUUGGAAAUUAAGUCAUCAACAGUACCUUAAGCACCACUCUGUAGGUAAUUUUGGAUAGUGUCUUUUCUUUACAUUUUGAUAUAGGGAAGGAAUUAAUUCACAUCGACACAAACGAAGUAAUGGAUACCAUAUAACUUGUGUGAUACUGUAGCUUUUAUAAUGAAUUACUUCUUGAAAGUUUUUUUUCCUAUACAAUGUAUUAUUAAACAAUUGUAACGAUAGUCUCUUUUUGUUUAACUAUAGAAAAUGGUAGAUAGUGUGGUACAGCAAACAAGAUUAACAAAUUUUCGUUGGAGAGAAAUUAUUUGGGCUCAGGCUUGCAAUAACAUUAUGAUGAUUUUAAGAAAAAUUGCAGUUCCUGUGAGUUAUAUAUUGAUAAGGCAGAUUUUUAAACACUUAGUUGCUAAAAUUAGUUUUCCUAAAGUCGUAUUUGGGAAAGUCUGAGUAGAGAACCAGUAAGUCACUCUAAUCAUCCCAACAGAGAGCAAAUAUUUUAGUCUUAAAUUACCUCAAAAAAUCUGUAUGUCGUUUAUAAUAUGUAAAUGCACAAUAUGUAAAGGAUAACAUAAGUUCUCGAAAUUGUCAUAAGUCCUUCCUAAAAACUGAACCUAAGUGUUUAGGUAUCUGUACUGUUACAGAGAUCCUUGAAAAUAUGAAAUAAAGAUAAUCGAAAUUAAGAUGAAAUG